GACGAACCGUGCGAACGUUAUUCGGAAUCACUGGGCUUAAAGCGCGUGUAGGCGGGCCGCCACGUCGGCUGCUGAAAUCCCCCGGCUCAACCGGGGAAGUGGCACCGAUACGAGCGGCCUGGAGGGGGGUAGGGGGCACUGGAACUUCCGGUGGAGCGGUGAAAUGCGUUGAGAUCGGAAGGAACGCCCGUGGCGAAAGCGAGUGCCUGGACCCUUACUGACGCCUGAGGACGCGAAAAGCCAGGGGAGCGGAACCGGG
Molecule: ribosomal RNA, 259 nt
Filed under: uncultured bacterium
Lineage: Bacteria
Description: partial 16S ribosomal RNA
Rfam family: Bacterial small subunit ribosomal RNA
Source: RNAcentral